This 29-nucleotide small RNA is filed under the name Bombyx mori (domestic silkworm). Its description in RNAcentral is "ovarian small RNA-37794". The record is from RNAcentral. Lineage: Eukaryota; Metazoa; Arthropoda; Insecta; Lepidoptera; Bombycidae.
UUGCAGACCAUGGUACACACUCUCGUGUU